This is a long non-coding RNA of Ipomoea triloba (trilobed morning glory), 1006 nucleotides long. RefSeq lists it as uncharacterized. The record is from RefSeq and is a predicted model, not a curated record. NCBI's taxonomy places the organism in Eukaryota, Viridiplantae, Streptophyta, Magnoliopsida, Solanales, Convolvulaceae. The transcript has 5 exons.
CACUCUCCCUCCUCAGCUCCCCAAAAUUUCGCCAAUACUCAGUAAAACAAAACCCUACCUCCCAAAUCAGACCUCAGAUCCGCUCCUCUCUCUCACUCUCUUACUCUCCGAUCCCUUCUCACCCUCUCUCUCAGACGACGCCAGCCUCCACCACACUCCCUUCGCACUCUCUCAGAUGUAGCUCCACCGCGAACCUCCUCCACCGCCACAGCCGCCGACCCCACCGCUGAUUGCUUCGUCGUUUCUUUCGAUCCGACGCCACCAUCGACUCUGCGCUGCCACCGCCUCUCCUGCGAAGACGCCGACGCUGCCACCGCCUCUGCCCCAGCCCUCAUCGUCCACUGCCGCGUUCAAGCAGGUUCGUUUUUGUUUUUGUUUUUUUUUUUAAUUAUAGUUAAUAAUAUAUGUGUGUUUUAUUGUUGUCUUGACAAGAUUUCUCCAGCCCAGACGACACACUGCCGGUGCCAUCUUCUCCCCCCGAUCUGCAGAAAAAGUAUACUUCAAAAAAUGAACCUGAGUAAGUUUGAUGGUAUUGAGGAAGGUGGCAUUAGGGCUUCAUUAUCAUACUCUUCUCAUGAGAUUGAUGAACAUGAGAAUGAAAAAGCACUGGAAGGACUGCAAGAUAGAGUCAAUUUGCUAAAAGAGUUAGUUGAGAUGCUGGAUGGUUAAGAAAGAAAAUGAAAUUGAUAGGAUGAAGAAAGAAAAUGACAGCAUGCAGAUUGAGCUCAGUCUGUUAACCUUACCAGCUGCAGGAAGAUCAUUGGAGCAAUCUCAACAUGUCAAUUCAGUUGCCAAUCUUGACUGCACACUUCCUCCUGUGGUCCAAUGUUGGUGGCAGUAUGGAGAGAAGUAUUAGUUUGGAGAUUGAAUCAGAAGUUCAAGUAUGGAGAGAAGUAUUAGUUUGGAGAUUGAAUCAGAAGUUCAAUUCCAGAAUGUUAUAAAUUUCAACUAUAUAUUCAUAUUCAAGAAUGAAUUCUCUUAAUAAACUAUUCUAGAAUCUUUUAAA